AAUCCAUGCAUUAGACAUUCUUGAAGUAAUUCUUUAAAUCGUUCCCAAGCUUUAUAUAACAUUUUAUCCUCCGAUUGUCAAAAAGAUGUGAUGUCAUUUCUAGGCUU
This is a non-coding RNA of Gossypium hirsutum (cotton), 107 nucleotides long. The record is from Rfam. Lineage: Eukaryota; Viridiplantae; Streptophyta; Magnoliopsida; Malvales; Malvaceae.